This 519-nucleotide ribosomal RNA is filed under the name uncultured eukaryote. RNAcentral's name for it is "SSU rRNA". It matches the Rfam family "Eukaryotic small subunit ribosomal RNA", at positions 1161 to 1699 of the family's 1831-position model. The record is from RNAcentral.
AGGGCACCACCAGGAGUGGAGCCUGCGGCUUAAUUUGACUCAACACGGGAAAACUCACCCGGCCCGGACACUGGAAGGAUUGACAGAUUGAGAGCUCUUUCUUGAUUCAGUGGGUGGUGGUGCAUGGCCGUUCUUAGUUGGUGGAGUGAUUUGUCUGGUUAAUUCCGAUAACGAACGAGACUCUAGCCUACUAAAUAGAUAGUCGGCUUACAAACGUCGACUAGACUUCAUAGAGGGACAGGCGGUGAUUCAACCGCACGAAACAGAGCAAUAACAGGUCUGUGAUGCCCUUAGAUGUCCGGGGCCGCACGCGCGCUACACUGAAGUGAUCAGCGUGCUUUUUCAGCCUACUCUGUCAAGAGUGGGAAACCCAAUGAACCUUCUUCGUGAUUGGGAUAGGGGAUUGUAAUUAUUCCCCUUGAACGAGGAAUUCCCAGUAAGCGCGAGUCAUAAGCUCGCGUUGAUUACGUCCCUGCCCUUUGUACACACCGCCCGUCGCUACUACCGAUUGAAUGUUUU